RNAcentral lists this ribosomal RNA (449 nucleotides) under uncultured bacterium. RNAcentral describes it as "partial 16S ribosomal RNA". It matches the Rfam family "Bacterial small subunit ribosomal RNA", at positions 29 to 523 of the family's 1533-position model. The record is from RNAcentral.
AACGAACGCUGGCGGCAGGCCUAACACAUGCAAGUCGAACGGGACCUUCGGGUCUAGUGGCGGACGGGUGAGUAACGCGUGGGAACGUGCCCUUUGGUUCGGAAUAGCCCCGGGAAACUGGGAGUAAUACCGGAUAAGCCCUACGGGGGAAAGAUUUAUCGCCAAAGGAUCGGCCCGCGUUGGAUUAGGUAGUUGGUGAGGUAAUGGCUCACCAAGCCGACGAUCCAUAGCUGGUCUGAGAGGAUGAUCAGCCACACUGGGACUGAGACCCGGCCAAGACUCCUACGGGAGGCAGCAGUGGGGAAUCUUAGACAAUGGGGGAAACCCUGAUCUAGCCAUGCCGCGUGAUCGAUGAAGGCCUUAGGGUUGUAAAGAUCUUUCAGUGGGGAAGAUAAUGACGGUACCUGGAUAAGAAGCCCCGGCUAACUUCGUGCCAGCCGCCGCGGUAA